Molecule: small nuclear RNA, 22 nt
Filed under: Arabidopsis thaliana (thale cress)
Lineage: Eukaryota; Viridiplantae; Streptophyta; Magnoliopsida; Brassicales; Brassicaceae
Description: snRNA_14661
Source: RNAcentral
ACUGUUGAGUGAGUUCUUGAAA